Sardina pilchardus (European sardine) is the source of this 136-nucleotide small nucleolar RNA. RefSeq annotates it as small nucleolar RNA SNORA69. The record is from RefSeq and is a predicted model, not a curated record. NCBI's taxonomy places the organism in Eukaryota, Metazoa, Chordata, Actinopteri, Clupeiformes, Clupeidae. The transcript has a single exon.
AAAGCAGAUUGCAAUUACAGUGCUUCAUUUGUGGGAGUACUGCCAUUAUCCUGCUGAGAGCAAAGUGCACGUUACUUUAGAGUUUUUUUUAUCCUGGUCACUGAAGUGACGGGGAUGCUCUUAAGUAUUGACAAUU